Molecule: transfer RNA, 67 nt
Filed under: Loxodonta africana (African savanna elephant)
Lineage: Eukaryota; Metazoa; Chordata; Mammalia; Proboscidea; Elephantidae
Rfam family: tRNA
About the family: Transfer RNA (tRNA) molecules are approximately 80 nucleotides in length.
Source: Rfam by way of RNAcentral
GGUGGCUCAGUGCUUAAGCACUUGGUUGCUAACCAAAAGGUUGGUGGUUCGAACCCACCAGCCACUC